Molecule: microRNA, 22 nt
Filed under: Pinus densata
Lineage: Eukaryota; Viridiplantae; Streptophyta; Pinopsida; Pinales; Pinaceae
Description: pde-miR3712
Source: miRBase by way of RNAcentral
UGUGAUCAAGAUCAGACUCCCA